AAUAGAUACCCGGGUAGUCCACGCCGUAAACGAUGAGUGCUAAGUGUUAGGGGGUUUCCGCCCCUUAGUGCUGCAGCUAACGCAUUAAGCACUCCGCCUGGGGAGUACGGCCGCAAGGCUGAAACUCAAAGGAAUUGACGGGGGCCCGCACAAGCGGUGGAGCAUGUGGUUUAAUUCGAAGCAACGCGAAGAACCUUACCAGGUCUUGACAUCCUCUGACAACUCUAGAGAUAGAGCGUUCCCCUUCGGGGGACAGAGUGACAGGUGGUGCAUGGUUGUCGUCAGCUCGUGUCGUGAGAUGUUGGGUUAAGUCCCGCAACGAGCGCAACCCUUGAUCUUAGUUGCCAGCAUUCAGUUGGGCACUCUAAGGUGACUGCCGGUGACAAACCGGAGGAAGGUGGGGAUGACGUCAAAUCAUCAUGCCCCUUAUGACCUGGGCUACACACGUGCUACAAUGGACGGUACAAAGAGUCGCGAGACCGCGAGGUGGAGCUAAUCUCAUAAAACCGUUCGCAGUUCGGA
This 522-nucleotide ribosomal RNA is filed under the name uncultured bacterium. RNAcentral describes it as "bacterial SSU rRNA". It matches the Rfam family "Bacterial small subunit ribosomal RNA", at positions 777 to 1297 of the family's 1533-position model. The record is from RNAcentral.